AGUAACAUAAGCUAAACAAGCUUUCGGGCCCAUACCCCGACAAUGUAGGCGAAAUUCCUUCUGUUACUG
RNAcentral lists this transfer RNA (69 nucleotides) under Nibea coibor. RNAcentral's name for it is "tRNA-Met". The record is from RNAcentral. RNAcentral also lists the same sequence under 2 other names. Lineage: Eukaryota; Metazoa; Chordata; Actinopteri; Sciaenidae.